GAUACUGCACCAAUUUUAUAGUUUCUUGUGGCAAUACAUGGAAAUUGGUAAGCUAGUAGUUACUGCUCUUCUUUCUUUAUACGUCAUGUAAAACGUUUUAUUCUUCUGCAAAAUAUUAAAUUUUAUCCCCAAUCAAUGAUGAAGAGUAAAACGAUUUCUGAAGAAUAAAAGCAGUUGACUAAAAAAGAAGAAAAAGAAUAAAUUGGCUCUCCACCUGUCAUAAAUCAAGUUAACAUUUAAAUAACACUGUUUACGGUUUCAGGGGAAUUAGUUUAAAAUCGAUAGUUUGUGUAUGUAAUUCAAA
RNAcentral lists this long non-coding RNA (304 nucleotides) under Brassica napus (rape). RNAcentral describes it as "long non-coding RNA (BNAP_LNC025759)". Lineage: Eukaryota; Viridiplantae; Streptophyta; Magnoliopsida; Brassicales; Brassicaceae. The record is from RNAcentral.